This 301-nucleotide ribosomal RNA is filed under the name uncultured bacterium. Its description in RNAcentral is "partial 16S ribosomal RNA". It matches the Rfam family "Bacterial small subunit ribosomal RNA", at positions 509 to 807 of the family's 1533-position model. The record is from RNAcentral.
CAGCCGCCGCGGGAAUACAGAGGGUGCGAGCGUUAAUCGGAUUUACUGGGCGUAAAGCGUGCGUAGGCGGCUUCUUAAGUCGGAUGUGAAAUCCCUGAGCUUAACUUAGGAAUUGCAUUCGAUACUGGGAAGCUAGAGUAUGGGAGAGGAUGGUAGAAUUCCAGGUGUAGCGGUGAAAUGCGUAGAGAUCUGGAGGAAUACCGAUGGCGAAGGCAGCCAUCUGGCCUAAUACUGACGCUGAGGUACGAAAGCAUGGGGAGCAAACAGGAUUAGAUACCCCUGUAGUCCAUGUCUCUUAUAC